CUAAGUAUUUGAGAUUAAUAGAAUUAAUCCUAUCCAAAAAUUAGGAUUAAUCCAUAUGAAAAAUUUUUGAUGGCAUAUUUUGCUUCAGAUACUCUGUUUCUUAUUGGGCUUAGCUCAGCAACCCUUAACCAAGCCACUACCUAUGAUUCACCAGUUCAUUCUUCAAUAUGCACAUGGCUAGAAUCCCUGGGAGCUUACGGUUUUAUAUCCUAUUUCACUCAACCUCGUGGGAGGAAAAUUUAGUAACAUGGACACGUUGAUUUGUUAACCAGUAGAGCAGGAUUUGAGCAGGCAGUGGAUCGUUCCUUGAUGGGUGAAAUAGUUCAGAGGCUCUAAAGCUAAUAUAAAUGACAUGGAAGAGACUUAUGGGCACAACAUAAUCAAAAGGAGUCUGACUACACAUGGCCACAACAUAAUCAAAAGCACAACAACACGUAAAAACUUUCCUUUUCCUCUCUUUUGUGUAGGAACUAUAAUAGGUAAGAUCGCAAUUAGUAGUGGCUUUACACGAGUCCUCAUUACUUUAAAAAGAUUCUGCACCUUUCAGAUAGACUAAAUACAUAGAUUUUCAAGAACAUUCUAAUUGAAAACUGGGCAUUCUACUUGUGGAAUCUUGAUUAGCAAUUGAGUUCCACUUAGAAAAUCUAAUUAUUUCUCAUUUCCUAUUUCAGAAGCUUUC
This 679-nucleotide long non-coding RNA is filed under the name Manihot esculenta (cassava). Its description in RNAcentral is "long non-coding RNA (MESC_LNC008984)". Lineage: Eukaryota; Viridiplantae; Streptophyta; Magnoliopsida; Malpighiales; Euphorbiaceae. The record is from RNAcentral.